Molecule: unclassified non-coding RNA, 337 nt
Filed under: soil metagenome
Description: partial contains 5.8S ribosomal RNA, internal transcribed spacer 2, and large subunit ribosomal RNA
Rfam family: 5.8S ribosomal RNA (bases 1-120)
Source: RNAcentral
GAUGAAGAACGCAGCGAAAUGCGAUAAGUAGUGUGAAUUGCAGAAUUCAGUGAAUCAUCGAAUCUUUGAACGCACAUUGCGCCCCUUGGUAUUCCAUGGGGCAUGCCUGUUCGAGCGUCAUUUGUACCCUUAAGCUUUGCUUGGUGUUGGGUGUUUGUCCCGCGUUGCGCGUGGACUCGCCUUAAAGCGAUUGGCAGCCGGCAUAUUGGCCUUGGAGCGCAGCACAUUUUGCGCUUCUAGUCAUGAAUGUUGGCGUCCAUUAAGCCUAUACAUUUGCUCUUGACCUCGGAUCAGGUAGGGAUACCCGCUGAACUUAAGCAUAUCAAUAAGCGGAGGA